GGUUAAGUGACUAAGCGUACACGGUGGAUGCCUUGGCAGUCAGAGGCGAUGAAGGACGUACUAACCUGCGAAAAGCUACGGGGAGCCGGUAAGAGGCAUUAUAUCCGUAGAUAUCCGAAUGGGGAAACCCAGUGAGUUUACUCACUAUCGCUACAUGAAUACAUAGUGUAGCGAGGCAAACCGGGAGAACUGAAACAUCUAAGUACCCCGAGGAAAAGAAAUCAACCGAGAUUCCGUUAGUAGCGGCGAGCGAACGCGGAGUAGCCCUUAAGCUAUAUUGGUGUUAGUGGAAUACUCUGGAAAGGGUAGCGAUACAGGGUGAUAGCCCCGUACACGACAAUGCUUUUAUAGUGAAAACGAGUAGGACGGGACACGUGGUAUCCUGUUUGAACAUGGGGGGACCAUCCUCCAAGGCUAAAUACUCCUGACUGACCGAUAGUGAACCAGUACCGUGAGGGAAAGGCGAAAAGAACCCCUGUAAGGGGAGUGAAAUAGAACCUGAAACCGUGUACGUACAAGCAGUGGGAGCACCUUCGUGGUGUGACUGCGUACCUUUUGUAUAAUGGGUCAGCGACUUACAUUCUGUAGCGAGGUUAACCGAAUAGGGGAGCCGUAGGGAAACCGAGUCUUAACUGGGCGAAUAGUUGCAGGGUGUAGACCCGAAACCGGGCGAUCUAUCCAUGAGCAGGUUGAAGGUUGGGUAACACUAACUGGAGGACCGAACCCACUAAUGUUGAAAAAUUAGGGGAUGACUUGUGGAUCGGAGUGAAAGGCUAAUCAAGCUCGGAGAUAUCUGGUUCUCCUCGAAAGCUAUUUAGGUAGCGCCUCGAGCGAAUACCAUUGGGGGUAGAGCACUGUUUGGGCUAGGGGGUCAUCCCGACUUACCAACCCCAUGCAAACUCCGAAUACCAAUGAGUACUACUCGGGAGACACACGGCGGGUGCUAACGUCCGUCGUGAAAAGGGAAACAACCCAGACCGCCAGCUAAGGUCCCAAAGUAAUGAUUAAGUGGAAAACGAUGUGGGAAGGCAUAGACAGCUAGGAGGUUGGCUUAGAAGCAGCCACCCUUUAAAGAAAGCGUAAUAGCUCACUAGUCGAGUCGGCCUGCGCGGAAGAUGUAACGGGGCUAAAAUCAUUCACCGAAGCUGCGGACUUGCAUUAUGUGCAAGUGGUAGAGGAGCGUUCUGUAAGCCUGCGAAGGUGUCUUGAGAAGGAUGCUGGAGGUAUCAGAAGUGCGAAUGCUGACAUGAGUAACGAUAAGGGGAGUGAAAAACUUCCCCGCCGAAAGACCAAGGGUUCCUAUCCCAUGCUAAUCAGGGUAGGGUGAGUCGGCUCCUAAGGCGAGGCUGAAAGGCGUAGUCGAUGGGAAACAGGUUAAUAUUCCUGUACCGGCCAAUACUGCGAUGGGGGGACGGAGAAAGCUAGGCAAGCGCGGCGUUGGUAGUCCGCGUGAAAGUGUGUAGGUUGAGAGACUAGGAAAAUCCGGUUUCUUAAGACUGAGACACGAGACGAGUCACUAAGGUGAUGAAGUUGCUAACGCUAUGCUUCCAGGAAAAGCCUCUAAGCUUCAGGUAUUGGUGACCGUACCCUAAACCGACACAGGUGGUCAGGUAGAGCAUACCAAGGCGCUUGAGAGAACUCGGCUGAAGGAACUAGGCAAAAUAGUACCGUAACUUCGGGAGAAGGUACGCUCUUUGAUGUGAAGCCCUUGCGGUGUAAGCAUUGGAGAGUCGCAGUGACCAGCUGGCUGCAACUGUUUAUUAAAAACACAGCACUCUGCAAACACGUAAGUGGACGUAUAGGGUGUGACACCUGCCCGGUGCCGGAAGGUUAAUUGAUGGGGUUAGCGCAAGCGAAGCUCUUGAUCGAAGCCCCGGUAAACGGCGGCCGUAACUAUAACGGUCCUAAGGUAGCGAAAUUCCUUGUCGGGUAAGUUCCGACCUGCACGAAUGGUGUAAUGAUGGCCAGGCUGUCUCCAGCCGAGACUCAGUGAAAUUGAAAUUGCGGUGAAGAUGCCGUAUACCCGCGGCUAGACGGAAAGACCCCGUGAACCUUUACUAUAGCUUGGCACUGAACAUUGACCCUACAUGUGUAGGAUAGGUGGGAGGCUUUGAAGUUGGAACGCUAGUUCUGAUGGAGCCGUCCUUGAAAUACCACCCUUGUAUGUUUGAUGUUCUAACGUAGGUCCCUGAAUCGGGAUUGCGGACAGUGUCUGGUGGGUAGUUUGACUGGGGCGGUCUCCUCCUAAAGAGUAACGGAGGAGCACGAAGGUUGGCUAAGUACGGUCGGACAUCGUACGGUUAGUGUAAUGGUAGAAGCCAGCUUAACUGCGAGACAGACACGUCGAGCAGGUACGAAAGUAGGUCAUAGUGAUCCGGUGGUUCUGUAUGGAAGGGCCAUCGCUCAACGGAUAAAAGGUACUCCGGGGAUAACAGGCUGAUACCGCCCAAGAGUUCAUAUCGACGGCGGUGUUUGGCACCUCGAUGUCGGCUCAUCACAUCCUGGGGCUGAAGUCGGUCCCAAGGGUAUGGCUGUUCGCCAUUUAAAGUGGUACGCGAGCUGGGUUUAGAACGUCGUGAGACAGUUCGGUCCCUAUCUGCCGUGGGCGUUGGAUGAUUGAGUGGAGUUGCUCCUAGUACGAGAGGACCGGAGUGAACGAACCGCUGGUGUUCGGGUUGUCAUGCCAAUGGCAUUGCCCGGUAGCUACGUUCGGAACGGAUAACCGCUGAAAGCAUCUAAGCGGGAAGCCGGCCACAAGAUGAGUCAUCCCUUAGACUUCGAGUCUACUAAAGGGUCGUUGAAGACCACAACGUUGAUAGGUGAGGUGUGGAAGCGUGGUGACACGUUAAGCUAACUCAUACUAAUUGCCCGAGAGGCUUAACCAU
This 2885-nucleotide ribosomal RNA is filed under the name Alishewanella sp. SMS8. Its description in RNAcentral is "23S ribosomal RNA". It matches the Rfam family "Bacterial large subunit ribosomal RNA". Lineage: Bacteria; Pseudomonadati; Pseudomonadota; Gammaproteobacteria; Alteromonadales; Alteromonadaceae. RNAcentral also lists the same sequence under 1 other name. The record is from RNAcentral.